Molecule: long non-coding RNA, 274 nt
Organism: Arabidopsis thaliana (thale cress)
Lineage: Eukaryota; Viridiplantae; Streptophyta; Magnoliopsida; Brassicales; Brassicaceae
Product: other RNA
Exons: 1
Source: RefSeq
AAGUGGGAGACAGUGAUAAGUUAGGUGAAAGGACAUUUAUUGAGAUCUCAUGCUCUCUGUUUCUUUUGGAGGUUUGUAUCUACCUACAUCCCCAAAACAUUGGCUUUGUGGAAGUGGAAAAUGAUGAGAAAGGUAUGGACCAUAUAGUAACAUAUCAAAGUGUUUGCCACUCAAGAACCAAACUGCAAACGUUUAGUACUCGUUUUCACUGUAGGUAAUGGACUGGAUAAAGAUGUUUGGAUACAGUUUUGGGCGGAUCCUGAUAGAGAAAAAA